GAGUUUGAUCCUGGCUCAGAACGAACGCUGGUGGUAUGCUUAACACAUGCAAGUCGAACGGACAUGGCCUAGUUUACUAGGAUUCUGUCAGUGGCGCACGGGUGAGUAACGCGUGGGAAUCUGCCCAGUAGUAUGGAAUAACAUUCAGAAAUGAAUGCUAAUACCGUAUACGCCCUUCGGGGGAAAGAUUUAUUGCUAUUGGAUGAGCCCGCGUUAGAUUAGCUUGUUGGUAGGGUAAUGGCCUACCAAGGCGACGAUCUAUAGCUGGUUUGAGAGGAUGAUCAGCCACACUGGGACUGAGACACGGCCCAGACUCCUACGGGAGGCAGCAGUGGGGAAUAUUGGACAAUGGGCGAAAGCCUGAUCCAGCAAUACCACGUGAGUGAUGAAGGCCUUCGGGUUGUAAAGCUCUUUCAACAAGGAAGAUAAUGACGGUACUUGUAGAAGAAGCACCGGCUAACUCCGUGCCAGCAGCCGCGGUAAUACGGAGGGUGCUAGCGUUGUUCGGAAUUACUGGGCGCAAAGGGCGCGUAGGCAGCUUGUCAAGUUGGAAGUGAAAUCCCGGGGCUCAACCCCGGAACUGCUUUCAAAACUGGCUUGCUAGAGUUAUGUAGAGGAUAGUGGAAUUCCCAAUGUAGAGGUGAAAUUCGUAGAUAUGGGGAGGAACACCAGAGGCGAAGGCGACUAUCUGGGCAUAUACUGACGCUGAGGCGCGAAAGUGUGGGG
RNAcentral lists this ribosomal RNA (726 nucleotides) under uncultured bacterium. RNAcentral describes it as "bacterial SSU rRNA". It matches the Rfam family "Bacterial small subunit ribosomal RNA", at positions 9 to 766 of the family's 1533-position model. The record is from RNAcentral.